This is a long non-coding RNA of Ricinus communis (castor bean), 661 nucleotides long. RefSeq lists it as uncharacterized. The transcript has 2 exons. NCBI's taxonomy places the organism in Eukaryota, Viridiplantae, Streptophyta, Magnoliopsida, Malpighiales, Euphorbiaceae. The record is from RefSeq and is a predicted model, not a curated record.
UUCAAAUUUUAAUGGGUCAAAGCCUUAUUUAUUGAAUUAUUAGUUAGUUUGAGAUCUUAAACCAAAACCUCAUAACCUAAAUUAGGGUUUAUGAAUUUGAAAUCCUAAAACUUGCCCCUCACCCCUUCACCUCCCUCACCUUCAUUGAUCCUCACCUCCCUCACAGUAGUCAUCUUUUCUCUUCUUCUUCAAGUUAGAUAGUUACUACCUGAAACUGUAAUCAUCUUUUCAACCUCGCUACUCCUACUCGCAGUCUCCAACCUCGCUGCUCCUGCUCGCAACCUUGUGCAAAGAACUUAAUGGAGGUCUAAGGAUGCUUCUAGCAGGGUUAUUGGCAUUUGCUGUUGUGUAACAGGAAACUGACCACAUCUUUCAAGCUAUUUUCACUAGAGUUUUUGUUUAUGUUAUAGAUGGAGGAAGAGAUGAACAGUAAAUCUACUCUAGAAUUGGAGCUAAAGAAGCUUUUGGAAGAUUUUCAACUAUUUGGGACCAUUUUAAGAUUGUAGAUUAUGGUGAUAAAACUAGGGCAGCAUGUGUAAAUUGUGGAAAAACUUAUGCUUGUGGCUCCAAAAAUUAUAGGGCUAGUAAUUUGUGGGCUCAUUUAAAUAAUCAAUAUUUUUGUAAGGUAAAUAAAAAGCAAAAGGGAGCACAUUCUGAGUCA